RNAcentral lists this ribosomal RNA (433 nucleotides) under uncultured bacterium 'eubacterium sp.'. Its description in RNAcentral is "bacterial SSU rRNA". It matches the Rfam family "Bacterial small subunit ribosomal RNA", at positions 29 to 507 of the family's 1533-position model. The record is from RNAcentral. RNAcentral also lists the same sequence under 1 other name.
AACGAACGCUGGCGGCAGGCUUAACACAUGCAAGUCGAGCGCAUCCUUCGGGAUGAGCGGCAGACGGGUGAGUAACGCGUGGGAAUCUACCCUUUUCUACGGAAUAACGCAGGGAAACUUGUGCUAAUACCGUAUGUGUCCUUCGGGAGAAAGAUUUAUCGGGAAAGGAUGAGCCCGCGUUGGAUUAGCUAGUUGGUGGGGUAAAGGCCUACCAAGGCGACGAUCCAUAGCUGGUCUGAGAGGAUGAUCAGCCACAUUGGGACUGAGACACGGCCCAAACUCCUACGGGAGGCAGCAGUGGGGAAUAUUGGACAAUGGGCGCAAGCCUGAUCCAGCCAUGCCGCGUGAGUGAUGAAGGCCCUAGGGUUGUAAAGCUCUUUCACCGGKGAAGAUAAUGACGGUAMCCGGAGAAGAAGCCCCGGCUAACUUCGUG